RNAcentral lists this ribosomal RNA (407 nucleotides) under uncultured bacterium. Its description in RNAcentral is "partial 16S ribosomal RNA". It matches the Rfam family "Bacterial small subunit ribosomal RNA", at positions 30 to 526 of the family's 1533-position model. The record is from RNAcentral.
AUUGAACGCUGGCGGCAGGCCUAACACAUGCAAGUCGAGCGGAGCGGCGGACGGGUGAGUAAUGCCUAGGAAUCUGCAUGGUCGUGGGGGAUAACGUCCGGAAACGGGCGCUAAUACCGCAUACGAUCAGAAGAGCACAGGUCGGAUUAGUCAGUAGGUGGGGUAACGGCCUACCAAGGCGAAGAUCCGUAGAUGGUCUGAGAGGAUGAUCAGUCACACUGGAACUGAUCCACGGUCCAAACUCCUACGGGAGGCAGCCGUGGGGAAUAUUGGACAAUGGGCGAAAGCCGGAUCCAGCCCUGCCGCGUGUGUGAAGAAGGUCUUCGGAUUUUAAAGCACUUUAAGUUGGGAGGCGUUACCAACAGAAUAAGCACCGGCUAACUUCGUGCCAGCAGCCGCGGUAAUAC